AAACCAUGAUGGGGGCAAUCUCUCUGAUAUGACUUGAAUCUCACCCAAGCAGCUUUGAAUGCUUCAGUUGGUCCUUGAGAAAACAUUGAGAUUUUGAGUCUCAGUUC
Molecule: small nucleolar RNA, 107 nt
Organism: Eutrema salsugineum
Lineage: Eukaryota; Viridiplantae; Streptophyta; Magnoliopsida; Brassicales; Brassicaceae
Rfam family: Plant small nucleolar RNA R71
About the family: R71 is a member of the C/D box family of snoRNAs containing the C (UGAUGA) and D (CUGA) box motifs. Multiple nearly identical copies of this snoRNA have been identified in Arabidopsis, and it is thought to function as a 2'-O-ribose methylation guide for 18S ribosomal RNA.
Source: Rfam